RNAcentral lists this ribosomal RNA (465 nucleotides) under uncultured bacterium. RNAcentral's name for it is "partial 16S ribosomal RNA". It matches the Rfam family "Bacterial small subunit ribosomal RNA", at positions 28 to 507 of the family's 1533-position model. The record is from RNAcentral.
GACGAACGCUGGCGGCGUGCUUAACACAUGCAAGUCGAACGGAAAGGCCCCUUUGGGGGUACUCGAGUGGCGAACGGGUGAGUAACACGGGAGUAACCUGCCCUUUACUUCGGGAUAACUUCAGGAAACUGGGGCUAAUACCGGAUAGGAAUCCUUGCUGCAUGGUGGGGGUUGGAAAGCUUCGGCGGUUUUGGAUGGACUCGCGGCUUAUCAGCUUGUUGGUGGGGUAGUGGCUUACCAAGGCUUUGACGGGUAGCCGGCCUGAGAGGGCGACCGGCCACAUAGGGACUGAGGUGCGGCCGAGACUCCUACGGGAGGAAGAAGUGGGGAAGCUUGCACAAUGGGCGGCAGGCGGAUGCAGCAACGCCGCGUGUGGGAUGACGGCCUUGGGGUUGUAAACCGCCUUCAGCAGGGGAGAAGCUUGUGGUGACGGUACCUGAAGAAGAAGCACCGGCUAACUACGUG